RNAcentral lists this long non-coding RNA (9020 nucleotides) under Portunus trituberculatus (swimming crab). RNAcentral describes it as "uncharacterized LOC123512238". Lineage: Eukaryota; Metazoa; Arthropoda; Malacostraca; Decapoda; Portunidae. The record is from RNAcentral.
UAUAUAUAUAUAUAUAUAUAUAUAUAUAUAUAUAUGUAAUACUUUACUUUCCCAUAGGUGACAUAGGAGUACUAGUGAUUUCAUUUGUGUAUUGUGUGAGCCAUUUGCUGUGGCAGUGAUCUGCCAACCUUAGAAUCGCGCCACAGAGGACUGUCAAAGGGAAGGACCGCUGCCUUGCAUGUCAGUCUGCUGAAGGUGUGAGGUGACCAAAGACCCUCGUCAAGAAAAUAGGAUCUUGUUUUUUUUAUUCACUUGACCUCAUCCUUCCAUCUACUAUUGGAACCUCCUACUACUCCCUUUCCACUAAGAGAAGAAUGGCAGACGAUGAACAUUCACUCAUGGGUAUAAAAGAAAAAAAGAUCUAAGGAUGUAUUAUACUGAUAUACUCAAGUCAUUUGUAAAAGUGAAAGUUUGCUCUGUCAACAAAAUCAGCUUGUACUGCUGCUCCUCUUUAAUUUUUUCCUCGUUGUGAUCAUUACAUACAGAUGCUUGAACAACUCCACUACAGUCACUAUAGGCUAAGGUGAUAUGGUAGCCAUUCCUGUGCUCUCUUAGCAGUAUGCCUGUUUGGUGCAUCCAUCACCCAUAAUGUUCUUGUCACUUUACAAUAUUUGUAUAUUUAAUGUAUUUUCUAUCUCCUUAGUAAUUAGUCAUGCCUCAAGAUGGUGUUUGAAAACAUUGGUACAAAUAUAUUGAUAAUAUUGAAGCAAAAUUUAUGGCAAUAAGUCAACAUGCAAUUUACAUUACUUUAAAAAAGAUCAGUUUGGGACAAGGCUGUUUGAUAAAUGUAGAGGAAAAUAUCCUAUAAAUAUAGGAAAUAUUGAGAAGUGACAAGAACAUUAAGAGUGCAACAACCAGGAGCCUGCAGGAGAGGAGACUGGAGGGAAGGAAUUUAGGUUUCAUAUCAGCUUAACUUUAAGGGACUAAUAGUAAUGCAAAUAAUGAUAACAAUAAUAUUUUGGUUUAUUUGAAUGGCAGCCUUACAACUGAUACUUUACAUAUUACAGGUACUUAUUUACUAACAUGCAUACUUCAACUUAAGCAUGCCCAACCCCAUGGUGGCAUCUUACUACUUGAUACAAUGGCUGCCAGAUGGCACCAGAUCAACCUAGUGGACUAGUCUUAGGAUGGUCAGGCCACCCUGUGUGUAUUUUUUCUUAGGAGUUUGUUUCUCGUACCUGGCAAUGGGUCACAACUUCUGAUUUAUACUAGAGUCCGUAUUCUGCAUUGUGUGUGUGACCGUACAUAGUUAUCAUCAGGUCUCACAGAAUUUGUAACUGUCAUUCCUCUGAUUGUUAGAAGUCUUCGACUGCUAGAAAUUCACAAUUCAUCAAUGCAGAAUAUGUAGAAUGAAAUAGGUUCUUGACAUAACUUUCUUGGAUAUAAAUUGUUUUCACAUCAUAUUACUACUUUUGGGAAUAGUUAGACAGUGUAACAUGAUAAAUAGAAGAUUAUGGACAACAGAUUGACAUGCAGUCUGUGCAAGGCAAGGCUUGUCCUAGUUUAUGAAAACUGUUCGUACUGGUCCUGGCAGUUAUUUAUAAUCAUGCUUUAUUGCAUCAAAGAAGGACAUUAUUUACUUAUCAUUACUGAUAUUUAUUGUUCAGUUGAUGAUACAAAUUGUUGAAGAUCAUGUUAUGGUAUAUACAGCCAUGUUAUCAUGAUGUUAUCAAGAGUUCCAGUAGUCAUAGACAGCACUAUAGCAUGGUGAACCCUGUCUUAGCACUUACGGGCGACAUCACAAGAUUAUUGCCGGCCGUAGAUAGACUUAUGUCUAAAAUGCGCCAUAUUGCUCGCUAUGACAGACAUCAUUAGCUAUAACGGGUUGUAGAAUACUGACCCAGGUUCAUAAUCACUGCUAGGUGAACAGAGGCAACAUAGACUGAAGUCUGCCCAAACUUCUGUCUUUACCCAAGAUUCAAAUCAUAGCCAUCCUGAUCAUGAGUCAGGCUCACUAACUACUGGAUCACUAGGCUAUUGCUACUACUGCAGUGGUGUACAGUAUGGUGUUCCUGGACACAAAUUAGUUGUAAAAAAUUUGCCUACAUACUUGUUCAUAAUGCUCCUCCUUUCUCUCUUCUGGUUGUCAUUACAUACAGACCUUUGCAUAACAUUUAUUAUUUAAGGUGAGAUACUCCAAUAUUCUCUGUUUCUCUCUCCUGCUCAUUACCUGGACACAUGCAACAUUCCUUGUAAAUGUAUCAAUCAAUCACAUUUGUGUGUGGCUUCCAAAACUUGAUAUCAACAUCAAUAAUAAACACUUUAGAAAAAUGGCAUAAGGAAUGUAAGAUUAUUUUAGAUACAGGAAGACUUGUUUUUAUUUUAUUUUUUAUAUUGAUAAAAUUGAUAAAUAUGGUAAAUUACAUCUAAGACCAUAAUUUUUGUACUGCAUUAUAUUUCAUAUUUUCAUGUGUUAGAUAGCAUAAUGAAAAUUGAGGAUCCUUUCUAAAGAAUUCACAGUCUUUAAAUGUUUGACUUGGAGAUUAUCUUGUGUGUCAUAUAUUAAUGUGUACACUUUUGUUCUGCUUCAUGUGUGCUAUUUUGAGAUGUGUUUUUGUCAUGCUACAGUGAAGAGAGUACCAUAUAUAUUUUGCAGUGUUAGUUAUUAUACUAAAUAACAAAGUAAAAUAAAAAGUGUGGAGCUUUUUAUAGACAAGUGGUUGUUCAUUGAGGUGGCAAUAAAGUCAAUCAUAUUUACUGGAUUACUUGUGCAUCUCCAAUUAUACUUCAUGUACAUAUUGAUUAUGUAUAUAACUCUUGUGUAGAUAAGAUGUUUUUAUGAGUUUGAAUUCAUCUUAUAUUAUACUUAUAUAAUUCUUACUAUUUGAGACAUGACAAACAUUUCCAUCAGGAAUUCCAGAAAAUGACCAAAUCAGUGGAAAUGAUAAUGAAAGAAGGUAAUAAGAAACCCAGUCAGUUAAUUCACACUGAUGAAUUGCGAUUAAUAAAUGAGUGACAUUCAUUGAACCCAUUCGUGAAUCAGGAUCAAUGAUACAUUUAGUGUGUGUACCUUUCAAUAUUAUAACAUACAUAUACAUAGAGCUUACAGUAAGUUUUCCUAAUAUUUUGUGGUGAUGUUCUUCAGAGAAAUUAGGACAAAGUUUUGAGUCGAGUUCUUUGCUGGAAAAAUUAAUUGUGAUUUUGGAACCUCUAUAAGUGCUGUAAUACCUCGGCUUACGACAGAUUUUGUAGAUGUGCAACUUGUAAGAUGAGCAUAUGUAUCAAGCAAAAUUUGCUUUAGGAUACAAGCAUAACUUGGAAAACUGGGCAAAAAGAGCUGAUGGUUCUCCUCUGUCACAGCUCUUCUUCUCGUGACCUGUUAAGCUUUGUAGCUCUCCGUAGGUUAUCAUUCCUUGCUUCUAUUGUUUAGUUUCUUGUAUACCUUCUUUACUCUGUUACACUUACUCAAUUUUUUAACUCUUUAGGACAUUUUGUAGAAUUUACUGACUUCAUUUUAUCUCUGUCCUCUUCUUGUAACCCCCAUGCCUUUCCUUUUUGUGAUGGCCACUGCUGCUACCACAAGGUGGCUUCUCUGAUCCAAAUGUCUAUCCCACUCCACUAUCAGGAGUGCACUGGGCCUCAUUGCUCUACAGAACCUGCAGUUUUAUUGCCUGUCACCUUUCACAUGUAUCUCUAGCAUUGUCAGCAUCUUUGCACUCUUACCUUACUCUCCUACAUUAUUUUGUCACCAGGUUUAUGCAUUAUUGUAACUUUACAUUAUUAAAACUAUGGUCUGCAUUAUGUAGCAGCCUUUAAUUUAAAAGAAGGUACUUAUUAGGAGGGUGAUAGUAAUUUGUUCACAUAAUAGUGCUUAAAAUUACUUCUAUAAGUACAUUUCCUCUUUAAUGGAAUGAACCAUACAUGUAUCCAUUAAUCUUUAUGGUGAAAAUUCUUGAUCUAUCAGUAAAUUGAACUACAAGUCUGUACCAGAAAUGGAUUAUACACACAAUCCAAGGUGCUGUUGUACCUGCAUCAUUAUUUCUGGUAUGAAAAAAAUAUGAAUGAUUUUUUUAUUUAUUAUUAUUAUUAUUAUUAUUAUUAUUAUUAUUAUUAUUAUUAUUUUAUUUAUUUAUUUUUUUAUUUUUUAUUUGCAUAAUUUAUUUUAUCAAUUGGUGAAUACUGAAGUAGACAAAAGAACGAGGCCUGUAAUAGGUACACAGAUUUACCUAAAGCACAUCCUAACAUUCCCAGGCUCACCCAGACAUGCAAAUCUCAUCCAAGCACACACUCAGAACAGGCUAUGCUACAUCCAAAAUGCAGCCAAACACAGCAACCUGUACUGAACACACUCAAAACACACCAACUGAUAUCCCACAAGGAGCAUGUAAGUUGUAUAGAUGGAGUGCAAAAUAAGCUGGUAAAACAGUGGGGUUAAUCAAAGGAUAAUGUAUUGCUGUAGGUAUGUAAUGUAUUGGAUAAGUGUAGUGUUGAGGGUAGGAAUCCUUAUUUACAUAAUUUUUAGUGUAUAGUAAUCUUAUAAAAUUAAAUUUCCAUGUAAUAUAAUGCACUGUUUGGUUAUUGUAGAUAAAGGAUUGUCUGAUACUUUUUUCCCAGUAUUUAAAAGGGUCUCAUCCUUGUAUUUUAUUAUUUAUCAGUUUUUUAUUUUUUUUUUUUUUUUUUAUUCAAUAGAGACCUUGGCCUGAUAUAUUGAUAGAUGGAUUAUUUUAUUUAUUUUAUUUACUUACCUUGUAGCUUGCUUUUGAUAUGGCCAGUCAUGAAAAAUGUGUGUGCCAGUAGCUCACAAGUCCAUACGUAUAGUUUGACAUAUUUCUAGUACCUACACUAGAAGGCUUACAGAGACAUGUAGAGUGUGGCCUGUGCUCGGCAACUCAGACGUGUAUGUAGAUCUUAAGAUGAAGCAAAGACCAAGCUAGGUUGUGAUGCAAACAUUCUGAACCAUUUUCUUAUUUUAUUUUAUUAUUUUUUUUUAUUUAUGUAUCUAUAUUUUCAUUAAUUUGAUUUUUAAUUUCCUAUUUUUUUCUUUAUUUAACAUGUAUAUAUAAUUUUUUAGAAUCUCUCUCUCUCUCUCUCUCUCUCUCUCUCUCUCUCUCUCUCUCUCUCUCUCUCUCUCUCUCUCUCUCUCUCUCUCUCUCUCUCUCUCUCUCUAGCACCUAAUGAUGAUAAACAUGGCUUUCAAUGUAAUACAUAGUAGAGAAUGUUUUUGCAAUGCCCAACAAGUUUAUAAUCAUAUGAAGCAUCAGUAUGAUUAUUUAGAUGCACCCAGUGAUACAGGCUAUUUGCACAGGGAAAUUAACAUGGAAUAAGUGAUGAUGUUGAUCCUGCAAUGUAAUGUUAACAGCUUGUGUGUCUUGUGGUGUGAAAUUAAUUAACUGAGACUGCUAUGGCUUUGUCUCAAGCUUCAUAUAAUGAUUUCGUAUAAUUUUGAAAGGCUACUAACAGCAAACAGGGUUGGAGUAGUUCGGAUUUUUUUAUGUUUAUUUUAUUUCUCCUCUGUGAAAUAAUCUCUGGUUACCGAUUUGAAGUAAUGACCAUCAACCUGGAUUACCAGUCAGAAUCAUAUCCAUGGUACACACCCAAACCACUCCUGUGAGGUGCAGGAUAUGUUGUGGCAAAGAGAGCGGUGGUGGUGGUUACGAGUGAAAACAUGUUUCCUUUAAGUAUGAAAAUCAAACACUCCAAAUAUUCUAUUGUGAGAAGAGAGAAAAGAUUAGGUUUGAUAAAUGAACUUAACAUAUGUAUAACUAAACCUAACACUUUCAAGCUCUCACUCCAAAAAGAUGACUAAGAUCACUGAUAUACAGAUGAUCCCAGAUUUCAUUAAUGUCAAGACCAGGAAAAUGUCACUUGACCAUUUAAAGUUUUGAUGUUUGCCAUAUGUUUUUACCAUAAUAUAUGUUGAAACAACUUGUAUACUAUGUAAUUUUAACUGGAACUUAUUUGCAUAGAAAACUAGAAAAAACAAAAUCAGAAAUACUCAGUCCAUUCUGCAGUCUGGAAAGAGGAGGCUGAAUUCCCUGCAGUUACUGGUAGUGCUGUGGCUCAGACUGCUGAUGGUCUAAAACAAUUUGUAACUGGGAUUUUUUUUUUCAUUUCCUGUUCAUUAGUGCAUUUUAUAGACUGAGAAACUUGUCUCUACAUCCACACCAGCCAUCAUCAAUUUCAUUAGAAAUUUCUUCAAUCUUGUUCAUAGGUACAGGUUAGUUAGUGGUUCCAUCGGAAACAAGCCCCACAGUCUUAGGCUUUGGCUUUUUUCAGUGGAGAAGAAACCACCUUAACAAAAAGGUAUUUAUAAUGUAUUUUCAGAAUUUUUUUGUAAAGAAAUACUUCACAUUCUUUUACAUGUUUUCCUGAUCUUUAAUGGACACACACAUUGUCAUGUGGCAGCUAACAUGAAGUUAUUGAUCAUAGUUUGAUUGCAUGAACACAAUAAUUUCUUGUCCAAAACAACAUUUACCACAUACUUGCAGUUACAUAAAUCACCUUUUUAUUUAAGAUUUUUUUUUUUUUUUUUCCUCCACUUACAAUGGGUCUUUCAAAAUGUAAGACAUGUUUGUCAGAAUGUUAUUUGAGUCAGAGACUUCAGCAAGUAUAUGAUAUGUGGGAACCUAACUGUUUUGUGUGAGAAAGGUUGGCAGCACUCAGAAAUUAUGUAGUUUUUGAAAUUGUAGUUCAAUAUUGAUGGUAAAUGUACAACUGUCCUAAGUAGUGAUGUCAUAAAGUUCAGUUAAUUUCAUUUUCUACAUGAAGUGUAAAUUAGUACAUAGACUAAUGGUGUAUUUUAACAGUUCUGUAAAAACUAAGAGGAGUUAUUAAUGUAAUUGAUGGAGACACACAUCUCAUACUGAUUUUGUUUCUUUUUUAUAUAUAGGGUGUUUCAGAAAAAAUGCCAGGAUUUUGAUCUCCAUUUAUUAAAAAACUAAUAAUGACAAAAGAACAAACUGUAGUGCUAUCAAAAGCAAACUUGAUGGCAAUUUAUCCCUUGUCUAAGUGAACUUCUUGAAGUUCAUGUUUUCAAUAUGAGUGCCGCAUGGGUUGAAGCAUGAUUUAAGGCAUACACAGAAAUUCUCACCAACUAUCUGGCAUGUCUCUUGGGUCACACUGGUUGUGUAUACCUCCACAUUUUGCUUUAACGCAGUGAGUGUUGAUGGUUUGUUGGCAUAGACUUCAGCCCAGAACCAAAAAUCAGGAGGACUGAGGUCAGAGACAAUGCCAGAAAGUUGGUGAGAAUUUCUGUGUACGCCUUAAAUCAUGCUUCAACCCACGCGGCACUCAUAUUGAAAACAUGAACUUCAAGAAGUUUACUUAGACAAGGGAUAAAUUGCCAUCAAGUUAGCUUUUGAUAGCACUACAGUUUGUUUUGUCAUUAUUAGUUUUUGAAUAAAUGGAGAUCAAAAUCCUGGCAUUUUUUCUGAAACACCCUCUAGAAUAUGACAUCAAUGCUUUGGGAAGCUGUAUAUGGUAAACUCAUAACUGAUCAGUUUUAUGACUUACAUGAGUGUUGAUUACCUAUAUACAUUUGUCAUUAAAGUGAUGUUACUAUUAUUAUUAUUGUUAUUAUUAUUAUUAUUAUUAUUAUUAUUAUUAUUAUUAUUAUUAUUAUUAUUAUUAUUAUUAUUAUUAUUAUUAUUGUUAUUAUUAUUAUUUUAUUAUUAUUAUUAUUGACAAAUAUUAGUUCUGUUAUUUCUAGGAAAAAAUGGAUAGUUUCUUACUAACUGGCCAAUGAUUUUUAGGGGCCAGUUAUGUUACUUAAUCUAACAUAACCUAACAUAAUCUAAUAUAACAUAUAGUAUUGAUUUUUCUUUGUUUAGAUUGACUUAAAAUGGAUUUUAUAACAUCUGAAGAUAUUUUUACAGUGGCUGUAGUACCUGUUUGGAUUAAUGUUGAUAAAAUAAUGUGAAAGGUGGACUGAUUGCCUUCAUUGGCAGCAUGACAGGGCAGCAAGUGUGUGUCAAAACAAGGCACCGAAAAGUAAACUCAGACAGUAGACCACAGUGGUGAAGAAUAUGAACCCUUAGGUGUGGUUUGGUCUUAGCACAUGGGAUGCCUUGAGUAAUGUGCAAGUGUGUCAAAGUGAAGCAUUGGAAGGUGUGCCGAGAUCAUGGGCUUCAUCGCAGGAAAGGGUGAACAAUUUGAUGUAUUUUGGUCUGAGCACUUCUUCUAAGAUAGAAUGUCUCUAUCAGUGUGACUGAAGGCUAACUUAAACCCACUCAAAUGUAUGUUUGGAUUGGGAUGGAUGCAUUUCUACUGUGUUAAUGUGUGUGGAAGUGUGUGGUGCUGAUGAUGAUCACAGUGGUUUAAUGGGAAGAACAGCCAGUGUUCUGUGAGCUACCAAUGUACUUUAGGUCUGUAUCUCUGUAGUAGACCCGUGUGAUUUAUGAGAGAGGUCUGUAACUUGUUAGACAUAUCUUGUAAGGUCUUCUAUAAGUGCUAGCAGGACCUCUUAAUUUAUGGUAAAAGGUCUUCAGUGCAGGACCUCCUGUAGCAUAUACGAGACCUAAAUUGCAGGAUCUGUGAGUUACAAAGCCUGUAAAAGGUCUAAGAUGUAGGACUUAUAACUUUUGAGGUCUAUAAAAGGUCUACAAUGCUGGGCCUAUAAAAUGUCUGUAAUGCCAGAAUUGUAAUUUUUACCCAGGCCUGUGUAGGGUCUAGAGUGGAGGAGUUGUAAGUUAUUAUGCAUGUAAAUGGUCUGGAAUGAAGAAACUUUAACUUGUAUGGUCUGUAAAAUGUUUGCAGUGCAGAAACUGUAACUUAUGAGGCCCAUUAUGUAAGGCAAGACCUUCUGCUUCAACUCAGUAGGCCUGUAAGAUGAAUGACCAGCUUUAUGAGGUCUAGGAAUGGUGUGUGGAUGCAACAGACAAACGUACACUCACUCCCUGGACUCAAGAAUCCUAAUUGUUGGAUGACCACAAGAUGUAUUAGGAAUUUCAGGUAACUGGAAUGUUAUAUGUAUUUUUAUGAAACUCUUUAAGUAUUCUGUGAAUAUCUUAAAGAGUUGAUAGAAGUCUUAUGAAAGCCAAUUUUUGCUGUUUCAAACAUUAUAAAACUGAAACCUUUAUCAA